RNAcentral lists this ribosomal RNA (2817 nucleotides) under human gut metagenome. RNAcentral describes it as "bacterial LSU rRNA". It matches the Rfam family "Bacterial large subunit ribosomal RNA". The record is from RNAcentral.
AGGGCAUAUGGUGGAUGCCUAGGCGUUCCGAGCCGAUGAAGGACGCGAUAAGCUGCGAUAAGUCAUGGGGAGCCGCAAGUAGGCUUUGAUCCAUGAAUCUCCAAAUGGGGCAACCCGGUACGAGUCAUGUCGUACCAUCCGAAAGGAAGGCACACCCGGUGAACUGAAACAUCUAAGUAGCCGGAGGAAGAGUAAUCAAACGAGAUUCCCUCAGUAGCGGCGAGCGAACAGGGAAGAGCCCAAACCGGACGUCUUCGGACGACCGGGGUUGAGGACCAGCAUCAAGGGAAGGCAAGAUAGCCGAACAGUCUGGGAAGGCUGAGCACAGACGGUGAAACUCCGGUAGGCGAAAUCUUACCCAACGGGCUGGUAUCCAGAGUACCACGAGACACGUGAAACCUUGUGGGAAGCAGGGUGGACCACCAUCCAAGGCAAAAUACUACGGAACGACCGAUAGCGCAUAGUACCGUGAGGGAAAGGUGAAAAGAACCGCGGGAGCGGAGUGAAAUAGAACCUGAAACCGUAUGUCUACAAGCAGUCGAAGCACUUUAUAUGUGCGACGGCGUGCCUAUUGAAGAAUGAACCGGCGAGUUAAUUUCAGAGGCGAGGUUAAGCGGGAGACGCGGAGCCGAAGCGAGAGCGAGUCUGAAUAGGGCGCAAGUCUCUGGGAUUAGACCCGAAACCACAGUGAUCUAUGCAUGGCCAGGUUGAAGCUCAGGUAAAAAUGAGUGGAGGACCGAACCCGUGAGUGUUGAAAAACUUUGGGAUGAGCUGUGCAUAGGGGUGAAAUGCCAAUCGAACGUGGAGAUAGCUGGUUCUCCCCGAAAUAGCUUUAGGGCUAGCCUCAGGUAACACAUGGAGACGGUAGAGCACUGAUCGGGUAAGGGAGCGUAAAGCUUACCGAGCCUAGUCAAACUGCGAAUGGCUUCAUGAGAAGAGCCUGGGAGUCAGAAUGCGAGUGAUAAGACCCGUAUUCAAAAGGGAAACAGCCCAGAUCGCCGACUAAGGUCCCAAAUGCUGUACUAAGUGGAAAAGGAUGUAGGACUUCCAAAACAACCAGGAUGUUGGCUCAGAAGCAGCCACCAUUCAAAGAGUGCGUAAUAGCUCACUGGUCGAGAGGCCCUGCGCCGAAAAUAUCCGGGGCUCAAGUACAGAACCGAAGUCGCGGGAUGCGCAAGCAUCGGUAGGGGAGCGUUCCAAGCAGGUUGAAGGCAGACCGGAAGGACGGCUGGACAGCUUGGAAGUGAGAAUGCUGGUAUGAGUAGCGAAACGAUCCGUGAGAAUCGGAUCCACCGAAAGCCUAAGGGAUCCUGAGCAACGCUCGUCGUCUCAGGGUAAGUCGGGACCUAAGCCGAGGCAUAAAGCAUAGGCGAUGGACAACAGGCGAAAAUUCCUGUACUGCAUGAUGUUGUUUGAGGAUGGAGUGACACAGCAAGGAGCUUGAGCGCGCGAUUGGAAAUGCGCGUCGAAGGCGGUAGGCUGGUAUAGAGGCAAAUCCCUGUACUAAGGCCGAGAACUGAUAGAUAGGAGCGUACUUCGGUACAAUCCGAAUUCAAGCGUACUACACUGUCGAGAAAAGCUUCUAACGAGACAUCAUGUACCCGUACCAAAACCGACACAGGUAGGCGGGGAGAGAAUCCUAAGGUGCGCGGGAAAACCCUCGUUAAGGAACUCGGCAAAAUGCAUCCGUAACUUCGGGAGAAGGAUGGCCGGAGCUGGUGAAGACCCUUGCGGUUGGAGCUGGAGCCGGCGGCAGAAGAGAAGCCCAAGCGACUGUUUACCACAAACACAGGUGCCUGCUAAAGAGAAAUCUGACGUAUAGGUGCUGACACCUGCCCGGUGCUGGAAGGUUAAGAGGAGAGGUCAUUCGCAAGAAGAAGCUUUGAAUUGAAGCCCCAGUAAACGGCGGCCGUAACUAUAACGGUCCUAAGGUAGCGAAAUUCCUUGUCGGGUAAGUUCCGACCCGCACGAAAGGUGUAACGAUUUGGGCACUGUCUCAACGAGGGACCCGGUGAAAUUGAAAUACCUGUGAAGAUGCAGGUUACCCGCGACUGGACAGAAAGACCCCAUGGAGCUUUACUGCAGCCUGACAUUGAUUUUUGGCAUGUAACGUACAGGAUAGUUGGGAGACGGAGAAGAUAGGCCCCCAGGCUUAUCGGAGUCGCUGUUGGGAUACCAACCUUUAUGUGCUAGGGAUCUAACUCGAGAAGUAACGAAGCUGAGGACAGUAUCAGGUGGGCAGUUUGACUGGGGCGGUCGCCUCCGAAAGAGUAACGGAGGCGUCCAAAGGUUCCCUCAGCGCGGACAGAAAUCGCGCGAAGAGUAUAAAGGCAGAAGGGAGCUUGACUGCGAGACAUACAGGUCGAGCAGGUACGAAAGUAGGGCUUAGUGAUCCGGUGGAAUGAGAGUGGAAUUGCCAUCGCUCAACGGAUAAAAGCUACCCUGGGGAUAACAGGCUAAUCUCUCCCAAGAGUUCAUAUCGACGGGGAGGUUUGGCACCUCGAUGUCGGCUCAUCACAUCCUGGGGCUGAAGCAGGUCCCAAGGGUUGGGCUGUUCGCCCAUUAAAGUGGUACGUGAGCUGGGUUCAGAACGUCGUGAGACAGUUCGGUCCAUAUCCAUCGCGGGCGUAAGAUACAUGAGGGAGACUGCUCCUAGUACGAGAGGACCGGAGUGGACGGACCGCCGGUGUACCAGUUGUUUCGCCAGAAGCACAGCUGGGUAGCUGCGUCCGGAAGGGAUAAACGCUGAAAGCAUCUAAGCGUGAAGCCCGUCCCGAGAUGAAGUAUCUCAUAGCACAAGCUAGUAAGACACCUUGA